This is a non-coding RNA of Cinara cedri, 314 nucleotides long. Lineage: Eukaryota; Metazoa; Arthropoda; Insecta; Hemiptera; Aphididae. The record is from the annotation of a GenBank genome assembly.
UGGAAAACUACGUUACUUUCUGCGCCACGUGUUCUAGUAUUAUGUUUUCGGGUAGACAAAUCGCAUUUCGAGUUUACAAUAACGGGUCGCUAAUAUUACGAGUAUAUACGAAAAGUGUUACGAGUACAACUACAAUAUUUUCCAAUAAAACACACAAAGUUGUCAAAGUGAAAAAAUACAAAUAAAAUGAACGGUUUUUUUGAGAAACAUUUGAUAUCUUAAAAAUGUAAAUAUUUCAACAGAAACCUUUGGCUUACUUAACAAAAAUAAAACUUUUUCGUUGACUAAUCAUAUAUCAUAAUAUACCUGUGGCA